Molecule: ribosomal RNA, 400 nt
Filed under: uncultured bacterium
Lineage: Bacteria
Description: bacterial SSU rRNA
Rfam family: Bacterial small subunit ribosomal RNA
Source: RNAcentral
UCGAGAAUUUUUCACAAUGGGCGAAAGCCUGAUGGAGCGACGCCGCGUGAGGGAUGAAGGGCUUCGGCCUGUAAACCUCUGUCAUUCGUGAUCAAACCUUUUCAGUUAACACCUGAAGAGUUGAUAGUAACGAAAGAGGAAGAGACGGCUAACUCUGUGCCAGCAGCCGCGGUAAUACAGAGGUCUCAAGCGUUGUUCGGAUUCACUGGGCGUAAAGGGUGCGUAGGCUGCUUAAGAAGUCUGAUGUGAAAGUUUGCAGCUCAACUGCAAAAGCGCAUUGGAAACUCUUGAGCUAGAGAGUUGGAGGGGAAGUCGGAAUUCUCGGUGUAGCAGUGAAAUGCGUAGAUAUCGAGAGGAACAUCAGUGGCGAAGGCGGACUUCUGGACAACUUCUGACGCUA